GACGAACGCUGGCGGCGUGCUUAACACAUGCAAGUCGAACGGAAAGGCCCUGCUCUUGUGGGGCGCUCGAGUGGCGAACGGGGGAGUAACACGCGAGUAUCCUGCCCUUGACUUUGGGAUAACUUCAGGGAAAUGGGGCUCAUAUCGGGUAGGAGCUCCUGAUGCACGUGGGGGGUUAGAAAGUUUCGGCGGUUGUGGAUCGACUCGCGGCUUAUGAGCUUGUUGGUGGGGUAGGGGAUUACCAAGGCUAUGAAGGGUAGCCGGCCUGAGAGGGUGACCGGCCACAUUGGGACUGAGAGACGGCCCAGACUCCUACGGGAGGCAGCAGUGGGGAAUCUGGCACAAUGGGCGGGAGCCUGAGGCGGCAACGCCGGGUGCGGGAUGACGGCCUUCGAGUUGUAAACCGCUGUCGCCGUUGACGAAGCGUGAGUGACGGUAACGGGUAAAGAAGCAACGGCUAACUACGUG
RNAcentral lists this ribosomal RNA (468 nucleotides) under uncultured bacterium. RNAcentral describes it as "partial 16S ribosomal RNA". It matches the Rfam family "Bacterial small subunit ribosomal RNA", at positions 28 to 507 of the family's 1533-position model. The record is from RNAcentral.